This 499-nucleotide ribosomal RNA is filed under the name uncultured bacterium. Its description in RNAcentral is "partial 16S ribosomal RNA". It matches the Rfam family "Bacterial small subunit ribosomal RNA", at positions 28 to 523 of the family's 1533-position model. The record is from RNAcentral.
GAUGAACGCUAGCGGCAGGCUUAAUACAUGCAAGUCGAGGGACAGCACAGGUAGCAAUACUGGGUGGUAACCGGCAAACGGGUGCGGAACACGUACACAACCUUCCUUUAAGUGGGGAUAGCCCAGAGAAAUUUGGAUUAAUACCCCGUAAUAUAGUUGAAUGGCAUCAUUUGAUUAUUAUAGCUACGGCGCUUAAUGAUGGGUGUGUGGCUGAUUAGAUAGUUGGCGGGGUAACGGCCCACCAAGUCUACGAUCAGUAGCUGAUGUGAGAGCAUGAUCAGCCACACGGGCACUGAGACACGGGCCCGACUCCUACGGGAGGCAGCAGUAAGGAAUAUUGGUCAAUGGACGCAAGUCUGAACCAGCCAUGCCGCGUGAAGGAUUAAGGUCCUCUGGAUUGUAAACUUCUUUUAUUUGGGACGAAAAAGGGCCUUUCUAGGUCAACUGACGGUACCAGGUGAAUAAGCACCGGCUAACUCCGUGCCAGCAGCCGCGGUAA